Molecule: non-coding RNA, 443 nt
Organism: Mus caroli (Ryukyu mouse)
Lineage: Eukaryota; Metazoa; Chordata; Mammalia; Rodentia; Muridae
Source: the annotation of a RefSeq genome assembly
GCUGACAAAUCUUGAAAAGAAUAGACCUGGUUUGUGAAUUAUGGCCUGGACUUCACGUAUACUCUCUCUCCUGGCUCUCUGCUCAGGGGCCAUUUCCCAGGCUGUUGUGACUCAGGAAUCUGCACUCACCACAUCACCUGGUGGAACAGUCACACUCACUUGUCGCUCAAGUACUGGGGCUGUUACAACUAGUAACUAUGCCAACUGGGUCCAAGAAAAAACAGAUCAUUUAUUCACUGGUCUAAUAGGUGGUACCAACAACCGAGCUCCAGGUGCUCCUGCCAGAUUCUCAGGCUCUCUGAUUGGAGACAAGGCUGCCCUCACCAUCACAGGGGCACAGACUGAGGAUGAUGCAAUGUAUUUCUGUGCUCUAUGGUACAGCAACCAUUUCCACAAUGACAUGUGUUGAUGGGGAAGUAGAACAAGAACACUCUGGUACAGUC